RNAcentral lists this unclassified non-coding RNA (240 nucleotides) under soil metagenome. RNAcentral describes it as "partial contains 5.8S ribosomal RNA, internal transcribed spacer 2, and large subunit ribosomal RNA". The record is from RNAcentral.
AACCUAGCACACCUGCGGUGUGUACCUGCGGAGGGAUCAUUACUGAGUGUAAAAACUCCCAAACCCACUGUGAACAUACCACUGUUGCUUCGGCGGAUGCGCCCCGGGCGCGCCCUACAAAGGCGUGCCCCGGAUCAAGGCCACCGCCGGGGGACCGAAACUCUUGUUUUCCUAAGGAUUCUCUGAGUGUGAUUAUUAAAUCAAAUCAAAACUUUUAACAAUGGAUCUCAGAUCGGAAGA